Molecule: non-coding RNA, 642 nt
Organism: Esox lucius (northern pike)
Lineage: Eukaryota; Metazoa; Chordata; Actinopteri; Esociformes; Esocidae
Source: the annotation of a RefSeq genome assembly
CAGAAUCAACAUGUCCUGAUGAACAAUAUUGAGGAACGCCAACACUGGAUACAAUCUUUAAAUGCGGUUACAUGCUACAUAAAUACCUGUUGCAUCACAUCGCUGGGAGUUUUUGUAUGGGACCUAAUAAGGAUUGUAUCACUGUGGUACACUUUUGGUAGCGGCACCAGAGUUGAUGUUGGAAGUAACAGGGCCCCCUCCCUGACCAUCCUACCCCCCUCUAAGGAUGAGCUGGCCAGUACAACAACGGCUACAGUAACAUGUCUGGCCAACAAGGGGUUCCCUUCUGACUGGACCAUAAAUUGGAAGGUGGAUGGACUCAACAAGAAGCAAGAGUCCAGUCGUGGAGUCCUGGAGAAGGAUGGGCUGUACAGCUGGAGCAGCACCCUGACCCUCACUGCCCAGGAGUGGACCAGGUCUGGAGAGGUGACCUGUGAGGCCCAGCGGAAGUCUGAGGCUCCGGUCAUCAAGACCCUGAGCAGGGCUGAGUGUUCUGGGUAGGAACCCCUCAGUAACACACACGCAUGUGGAGAGCUGCUGGUUCGUCGGCUUCAUGUUCUGCAAUGAGAAAUGUCUUUUUAUCUCUGACACGUAGACCAACACAGGGGCUUUGCUUUAAUCAAUCCUUUUGCAGGAGAAGAU